Long non-coding RNA from Chrysemys picta bellii (western painted turtle), 2433 nucleotides. RefSeq lists it as uncharacterized. The record is from RefSeq and is a predicted model, not a curated record. Lineage: Eukaryota; Metazoa; Chordata; Testudines; Emydidae.
AGCAACCCACUUAUUUAAUUUGGACUGCGGAGUUAAGUAAUCAGCCCAUUCCAUUUGCAAUACGUUUGCUGUAAAUCGACAUUCUUGCCCAAGAGCACUCUUAUGAGCAAAACUGAGCAUUCAAACAAUGUGCAUGAUGGCGGAGGGGAGCUCGGUCUGAGGAUUAUUGCUACAUACUUACCGAGUUUCUUUUGUGAACUCAUGAAAAAGUGCUAUUCUACCAUCUACCGUCUCCAAUCCAGACUCUUGCUGGAGGAAUAUUUGCAGAGCCUAGUGACAGCCGCUGAACAGUCAACAUUUGCUAAUAACCACAGCAGGCUGAAACAAGACUUUCCAUAGGGAGAUCUAAGGUGAUCUCGGAACAAAUUGAUUCUGAUAACCCAGGGACUACGAAUAGUCACUGUUCAUGCUGCAUGACUGAUCAGCUAAAUUAUAUGACAUCAUUUCCGUUCACUGAUUAGGUGACCUAAUUAGCCACAAAUAUUCUUAUCAGCUGGACAAAUCUACUGUGCAAAUAAUAAGACCACUUUUCCAUAAUCGCCAUUAUAGCAUUUUCAGUGUGAUUGUUCUCAAGGAUAUUUAUGUACACCAGAAUUCACCAAGAUUUUUCUUUCUAUGAACCGUCUUGUGAACAAAACCUUGCUUACUCAACUGUUAACACAUAAUCAAGUGAAGGUGGUCUAGGAUACUGGUGGAGUGAAUCAGUGUGUUUUAUUCACAGGAAUAUUCACAAAAUGCUUUUUUGCUGCAUUCACGGCAUGUAUUGAGGAAGGUAAUUAACAGUGACUAAUGAACAAGAGGGAGUGACUUAUUAGAGAUUGGAGAAACUAAAUAGGUUCUUCUUGGCUAAGCAAUGACUAAAAAAGGGCAUCUGCAACUAUUUGAAGGAUGGAAACAUUCAGGGCCAGAUUCUGAUAUAUUAUUCAACAUGGGUAAGGUCUUGCUCCACAAAUGGCCCCCUUGAAGCCAAUGGGACUAGUCCUGAAGUAAGAUGAUUCUAAGUGUGAAUAAAGGCUCAGCAUCUGGCCCUAAAAGAGAAAUUACUUAGUGUGGUACAAGUCAGGGGAGACACUGGGACGAAAAUUAACAAAAGAAAAUUUAAGGUUUAAUAUCAAGAAGCUCUUCCCAAGAGGGCAUUCUAUAAUACUGGGAACAGUUUCCCCAUAGCUGUGGUGGAAGUCUCCCCAUCGUUGGGGCAUUUAAACUAGGCAGAAACAAUAGGAAAUAUAUUGUAAGGAAUCGUUGUGCUGGGGGAGAGGGUCUAGAUCAUACUCCUAGAUAAGGCCAGAAGGAACCGUUAUGAUCAUCUAGUCUGACCUCCUGCACAUCGCAGGCCACAGCAUGUCACCCAUCCACUCCUGCCAUAGCCCCAUAACCUCUGGCUGAGUUACUGAAGUCCUCAAAUCUUGAUUAAAAGACUUCAAGUGACCGAGAAUCCACCAGUUGCCUAAUGGGUCUUUUCAAACACAAAUUAUUAUGAUUUUAAGAAUCCGGGUUCUCCCCGAUAGACCUAUCAAGUUGCUCAGCUCCAACGCAAUGCACAGAUUCUUAGCAGAGACCAUAAAUUUCUUUGUGAGUCCUCUCUUUUCUUUACAGUUUCCAUGACUGUCAAGAGCAUGGGGAGUGCAGGCUGAGCUAAACCUUUGAAAAACAUUUAGGUCACCUCCCAGCAAAUGCACCAAGGAGCUGCCAAAGAAAAGCAUAACAAUCUUUCAGCUUCAAUCAUUUCAGCUGAAAUUAUAAUGCAGAGGAAUGUCGACAUGAUUGGUAGGUUUUAGCAGAAAGAGCUCAUUUCCCCCAGUCCCCUCCCUCUGCCCCCUGUGCUCAAAAUGUUGUGUUUUUUGGCAUUACCAAGUUUACAAAGGCACAAAAGAUCCCUCCAAGUGGUAAGUUAUCCCAUUGCCUAUCCCAGAGCUGCAAAUCAUGAUGAUUUCUUCCUUGUUCUUUUUCAAAUGAAAUAGUCCAUGCACCAGGCAGCAAUCUCAGGCUUGUACAGAUGAGAUAGAAGAAACUCCUUUUAUAUUGUGCCCAUUGCUUUUAAUUUAACAGGGCUGUUGGCUGCCUUUGCACCUGGGCUGAGAUUACCUAGUACGGAAAUAGGAGAAAUAAUGAAUCCAAAACCAAAUAGAAAAGCACUCAUCAAAACAAUUUGAGAUGCUCAGGAGAAUGUUAUGUAAAUGAGGUGACACAGUAGGGAAAUGGCUAAAGACAGGAGGAGAACAAUACAUGGUACUUUCAGACUCUUGAUUGGAGGAAAAGCGAGCAGUGGUAGGUAGGUAAAUAAAUAUUAAUCCCGUAUCUCCUUGUGUUGGCACAGCAGCGUUAGCUGCACAACAGAAGAUCACACUUUAGAGUAGUGGACCCAGAGAGGUGGUUUCUGGGUGACUGAGUGGGUACACACCACUGGAGCAGUAGCUUUGGCAGCUUUCCUGU